GAUGAACGCUGACAGAAUGCUUAACACAUGCAAGUCAACUUGAACUUCGGUUUGGGUGGCGGACGGGUGAGUAACGCGUAAAGAACUUGCCUCACAGCUAGGGACAACAUUUGGAAACGAAUGCUAAUACCUGAUAUUAUGAUUAUAUGGCAUCGUAUAAUUAUGAAAGCUAUAUGCGCUGUGAGAGAGCUUUGCGUCCCAUUAGCUAGUUGGAGAGGUAACAGCUCACCAAGGCGAUGAUGGGUAUCCGGCCUGAGAGGGUGAUCGGCCACAAGGGGACUAGGACACGGCCCUUACGCCGACGGGGGGCAGCAGUGGGGAAUAUUGGACAAUGGACCGAGAGUCUGAUCCAGCAAUUCUGUGUGCACGAUGAAGUUUUUCGGAAUGUAAAGUGCUUUCAGUUGGGAAGAAAAAAAUGACGUUACCAACAGAAGAAGUGACGGCUAAAUACGUG
This 454-nucleotide ribosomal RNA is filed under the name uncultured bacterium. RNAcentral describes it as "partial 16S ribosomal RNA". It matches the Rfam family "Bacterial small subunit ribosomal RNA", at positions 28 to 507 of the family's 1533-position model. The record is from RNAcentral.